This 462-nucleotide ribosomal RNA is filed under the name Nocardia brasiliensis. RNAcentral's name for it is "bacterial SSU rRNA". It matches the Rfam family "Bacterial small subunit ribosomal RNA", at positions 28 to 507 of the family's 1533-position model. Lineage: Bacteria; Bacillati; Actinomycetota; Actinomycetes; Mycobacteriales; Nocardiaceae. The record is from RNAcentral.
GACGAACGCUGGCGGCGUGCUUAACACAUGCAAGUCGAGCGGUAAGGCCCUUCGGGGUACACGAGCGGCGAACGGGUGAGUAACACGUGGGUGAUCUGCCUCGCACUUCGGGAUAAGCCUGGGAAACUGGGUCUAAUACCGGAUAUGACCUUUCAGUGCAUGCUGUUUGGUGGAAAGAUUUAUCGGUGCGAGAUGGGCCCGCGGCCUAUCAGCUUGUUGGCGGGGUAACGGCCCACCAAGGCGACGACGGGUAGCCGACCUGAGAGGGUGACCGGCCACACUGGGACUGAGACACGGCCCAGACUCCUACGGGAGGCAGCAGUGGGGAAUAUUGCACAAUGGGCGAAAGCCUGAUGCAGCGACGCCGCGUGAGGGAUGACGGCCUUCGGGUUGUAAACCUCUUUCGACAGGGACGAAGCGCAAGUGACGGUACCUGUAGAAGAAGCACCGGCCAACUACGUG